This 483-nucleotide ribosomal RNA is filed under the name uncultured bacterium. RNAcentral's name for it is "partial 16S ribosomal RNA". It matches the Rfam family "Bacterial small subunit ribosomal RNA", at positions 28 to 507 of the family's 1533-position model. The record is from RNAcentral.
GACGAACGCUGGCGGCGUGCUUAACACAUGCAAGUCGAACGCUGAAGCUCAGCUUUUGUUGGGUGGAUGAGUGGCGAACGGGUGAGUAACACGUGAGUAACCUGCCUCCUUCUUUGGGAUAACGCCCGGAAACGGGUGCUAAUACUGGAUAUUCACUGGUCUUCGCAUGGGGGUUGGUGGAAAGGGUUUUUCUGGUGGGGGAUGGGCUCGCGGCCUAUCCGCUUGUUGGUGGGGUGAUGGCCUACCAAGGCUUUGACGGGUAGCCGGCAUGAGAGGGUGACCGGUAACAUUGGGACUGAGAUACGGCCCAGAAUCCGACGGGAGGCAGCAGAGGGGAAUAUGGCACAAUGGGGGAAAGCAUGAUGCAGCGACGCCGCGUGAGGGAUGGAGGCCUUCGGGUUGUGAACCUCUUUCGCUCAUGGUCAAGCCGCAACAAUGGUUGUGGUGAGGGUAGUGGGUAAAGAAGCGCCGGCUAACUACGUG